RNAcentral lists this ribosomal RNA (275 nucleotides) under uncultured bacterium. RNAcentral describes it as "partial 16S ribosomal RNA". It matches the Rfam family "Bacterial small subunit ribosomal RNA", at positions 523 to 796 of the family's 1533-position model. The record is from RNAcentral.
AUACGUAGGGAGCAAACGUUGUCCGGAUUUAUUGGGCGUAAAGGGCUCGUAGGCGGUUCAACAAGUCGGUCGUGAAAGCCCGGGGCUCAACCCCGGGACGCCGGUCGAAACUGUUGUGACUAGAGUUCGGUAGAGGUGAGUGGAAUUCUCGGUGUAGCGGUGGAAUGCGCAGAUAUCGAGGGGGACAACAUUAGCGAAGGCGGCUCACUGGGCCGAUACUGACGCUGAGGAGCGAAAGCGUGGGGAGCAAACAGGAUUAGAAACCCGAGUAGUCC